RNAcentral lists this ribosomal RNA (734 nucleotides) under uncultured Streptococcaceae bacterium. Its description in RNAcentral is "bacterial SSU rRNA". It matches the Rfam family "Bacterial small subunit ribosomal RNA", at positions 58 to 777 of the family's 1533-position model. Lineage: Bacteria; Bacillati; Bacillota; Bacilli; Lactobacillales; Streptococcaceae. The record is from RNAcentral.
CAAGUAGAACGCUGAAGGAGGAGCUUGCUUCUCCGGAUGAGCUGCGAACGGGUGAGUAACGCGUAGGUAACCUGCCUGGUAGCGGGGGAUAACUAUUGGAAACGAUAGCUAAUACCGCAUAAGAGUAGAUGUUGCAUGACAUUUGCUUAAAAGGUGCAAUUGCAUCACUACCAGAUGGACCUGCGUUGUAUUAGCUAGUUGGUGGGGUAACGGCUCACCAAGGCGACGAUACAUAGCCGACCUGAGAGGGUGAUCGGCCACACUGGGACUGAGACACGGCCCAGACUCCUACGGGAGGCAGCAGUAGGGAAUCUUCGGCAAUGGACGGAAGUCUGACCGAGCAACGCCGCGUGAGUGAAGAAGGUUUUCGGAUCGUAAAGCUCUGUUGUAAGAGAAGAACGAGUGUGAGAGUGGAAAGUUCACACUGUGACGGUAUCUUACCAGAAAGGGACGGCUAACUACGUGCCAGCAGCCGCGGUAAUACGUAGGUCCCGAGCGUUGUCCGGAUUUAUUGGGCGUAAAGCGAGCGCAGGCGGUUAGAUAAGUCUGAAGUUAAAGGCUGCGGCUUAACCAUAGUACGCUUUGGAAACUGUUUAACUUGAGUGCAAGAGGGGAGAGUGGAAUUCCAUGUGUAGCGGUGAAAUGCGUAGAUAUAUGGAGGAACACCGGUGGCGAAAGCGGCUCUCUGGCUUGUAACUGACGCUGAGGCUCGAAAGCGUGGGGAGCAAACAGGA